This 301-nucleotide ribosomal RNA is filed under the name uncultured bacterium. RNAcentral's name for it is "partial 16S ribosomal RNA". It matches the Rfam family "Bacterial small subunit ribosomal RNA", at positions 509 to 807 of the family's 1533-position model. The record is from RNAcentral.
CAGUCGCCACGGGAAUACGUAGGUGGCAAGCGUUGUCCGGAAUUAUUGGGCGUAAAGCGCGCGCAGGUGGUUUAAUAAGUCUGAUGUGAAAGCCCACGGCUCAACCGUGGAGGGUCAUUGGAAACUGUUAAACUUGAGUGCAGGAGAGAAAAGUGGAAUUCCUAGUGUAGCGGUGAAAUGCGUAGAGAUUAGGAGGAACACCAGUGGCGAAGGCGGCUUUUUGGCCUGUAACUGACACUGAGGCGCGAAAGCGUGGGGAGCAAACAGGAUUAGAUACCCCUGUAGUCCCUGUCUCUUAUAC